UGGGGAAUAUUGGACAAUGGGGGCAACCCUGAUCCAGCGACGCCGCGUGUGUGAAGAAGGCCUGCGGGUUGUAAAGCACUUUUAGUGGGGACAAAAAGCCGAGGGUUAAUACCUUUCGGUCUUGAUUUAACCCAAAGAAAAAGCACCGGCUAACUCUGUGCCAGCAGCCGCGGUAAUACAGAGGGUGCAAGCGUUAAUCGGAAUUACUGGGCGUAAAGCGUGCGUAGUCGGUUAUCUAAGUCAGGUGUGAAAUCCCCGGGCUCAACCUGGGAAUUGCAUUUGAUACUGGAUAGCUAGAGUUCGGCAGAGGGAAGUGAAAUUUCUGGUGUAGCGGUGAAAAUGCGUAGAUAUCAGAAGGAACAUCAGUGGCGAAAGCGACUUUCCUGGACCAGAACUUGACGAUCAGGCACGAAAAGCGUGGGGAGCAAAACA
This 432-nucleotide ribosomal RNA is filed under the name uncultured Gammaproteobacteria bacterium. RNAcentral's name for it is "bacterial SSU rRNA". It matches the Rfam family "Bacterial small subunit ribosomal RNA", at positions 355 to 775 of the family's 1533-position model. Lineage: Bacteria; Pseudomonadati; Pseudomonadota; Gammaproteobacteria. The record is from RNAcentral.